Long non-coding RNA from Gasterosteus aculeatus aculeatus (three-spined stickleback), 391 nucleotides. The record is from Ensembl. NCBI's taxonomy places the organism in Eukaryota, Metazoa, Chordata, Actinopteri, Perciformes, Gasterosteidae.
GUGAGAACAGACGGGUCCAUUUACUACCAAAUCUGUGAAGAAUUUACUGCAGCCAGAACGUGCUUCAAACCAAACCAUCAUCCAGUUCAUGCAGAGUCUGGGAGAAAAGCCUUUACUCACUGAGAAGUGUCUACAUGCCUCAUGUUGUUUGCAUCUGCAGCUCAAGUGGCAGGAGGCGAAGUGAAGAGCAGAUGAAGAAGGAGAAAGAGGAGACAGAAGAGACUCAAUUAUCUUCACCUGCUGGCUGGAUUGUUUCACCGACGUGAUGGACCUCUCGCCUCCCACUGAUGAACGGACUGUUUCCUCAGACAGGGAGAACAGCGAGACUUUAAAACGCUGCCUCUAUAUCUAGCACCAUCUUCUACUUCACCGAUCCACUCUCCAAAUGCAC